This 426-nucleotide small RNA is filed under the name Oryza sativa Japonica Group (Japanese rice). RNAcentral's name for it is "sRNA Os11g0269233". The record is from RNAcentral. Lineage: Eukaryota; Viridiplantae; Streptophyta; Magnoliopsida; Poales; Poaceae.
AGAGCUGGGAGAGAUGGAUCGAUGGUUGAGCAUUGCAAUAAGAAUGUGGUGCAUCAGCCAUGCACAACUGCGUUCCUAUACAGGCCAUAUAAUCAUCUCUCACUGAUUGUUGCAUGUAGUCACUAUUAUGUCAGCAAGCAAGGGAACAAAAGCAUAACCUUUUUCUUGAUCCCUACCAUUCCAAUCACAUUGUACCAUGGUUGCUCAUGCAUCUAGGUUUUUUUUGCCAUACCCUUAAAGAUGUGGCAUAGAGCCAUAGAGGAAAGAUGCAGACGCACAUGUUAGGCUUUUUCUCUGUAUGCAUAUAUGAACUCAUGAGAGUUACUGCAUAUGAAAUCAUUAUUCUCCAAUUCUCCUCACGAACUUUAAAGACUCGUAGCUACUCCAUUCGUUUCAUAUUAUAAAUAAGUUAAUUUAAAUAUUUUU